Molecule: ribosomal RNA, 529 nt
Filed under: uncultured bacterium
Lineage: Bacteria
Description: bacterial SSU rRNA
Rfam family: Bacterial small subunit ribosomal RNA
Source: RNAcentral
UGGGGAAUCUUGGACAAUGGGGGCAACCCUGAUCCAGCCAUGCCGCGUGAGUGAUGAAGGCCUUAGGGUCGUAAAGCUCUUUCGCCUGUGAAGAUAAUGACGGUAGCAGGUAAAGAAACCCCGGCUAACUCCGUGCCAGCAGCCGCGGUAAUACGGAGGGGGUUAGCGUUGUUCGGAAUUACUGGGCGUAAAGCGCACGUAGGCGGACCAGAAAGUUGGGGGUGAAAUCCCGGGGGCUCAACCCCGGAACUGCCUCCAAAACUAUUGGUCUAGAGUUCGAGAGAGGUGAGUGGAAUUCCAAGUGUAGAGGUGAAAUUCGUAGAUAUUUGGAGGAACACCAGUGGCGAAGGCGGCUCACUGGCUCGAUACUGACGCUGAGGUGCGAAAGUGUGGGGAGCAAACAGGAUUAGAUACCCUGGUAGUCCACACCGUAAAACGAUGAAUGCCAGUCGUCGGGUAGCAUGCUAUUCGGUGACACACCUAACGGAUUAAGCAUUCCGGCCUGGGGAGUACGGUCGCAAGAUUAAAA